RNAcentral lists this long non-coding RNA (446 nucleotides) under Cricetulus griseus (Chinese hamster). RNAcentral describes it as "lncRNA (ENSCGRG00015037058.1)". The record is from RNAcentral. Lineage: Eukaryota; Metazoa; Chordata; Mammalia; Rodentia; Cricetidae.
CAGGGAGAUAGGAUGCUAUGGCUGGUGUCCUAGCUAAGAUAGAGCUCCACCUGCCUCUGCCUUCCAAGUGCUGGGAUUAAAGACACAUACCACUUCGCAGCAUCCUCCUUGUUCUUGACGCAGAAUCAGCGUUAUGGCUCAAUGAGUCGGAUGUAUGAUCUUCAAGGUUUUCCACACAGUUCCCUGUUGGACUGGCCAGCGCCUAGCUGAAGACACUCUGGCUGCUUUUACUCCACACAAAACUUCCUUUCGAACCUUGGAAUUGCUAAAGAAGAAACAAGGAUGUCCUAUUGCAAGAAAUAUUAAAUAUGAGUCUUUUUUUUCUUUUAGAUUUCUUUGAUGAGAAUUAGAAACAAGAGAGUUUUACAUGACAAUCCCAGUUCCAUUCUCUCUCUCCUCCUCCCGUACCCCGCCACCCACUAAAUCUUACCAAUCAAAUAUCCUUU